CAAGAAGCCGAAAGGCUACUUGAAACCAUCGCGAACUUAUCCAAGUUGCCUUCGGCGGCGCGGCUCCCCUCACGGGGGACCGCAGCCCCCGCCCUCUCAGGAGGUAAGGGGCAGCCGCCGGAGGUACGAAACUCUGUAUUAUAGUGGUAUCUCUGAGUAUAAAACAAAUAAGUUAA
This 176-nucleotide unclassified non-coding RNA is filed under the name soil metagenome. RNAcentral's name for it is "partial internal transcribed spacer 1". The record is from RNAcentral.